GAUAAACCCCGUGGUAAUUCUAGAGCUAAUACAUGCUUAAAACCCCGACUCACGAAGGGGUGUAUUUAUUAGAUUAAAAACCAAUGCCCUUCGGGGCUCUUUGGUGAUUCAUAAUAACUUUUCGAAUCGCAUGGCCUUGCGCCGGCGAUGGUUCAUUCAAAUUUCUGCCCUAUCAACUUUCGAUGGCAGGGUCUUGGCCUGCCAUGGUGACAACGGGUAACGGAGGGUUAGGGCUCGACCCCGGAGAAGGAGCCUGAGAAACGGCUACUACAUCCAAGGAAGGCAGCAGGCGCGCAAAUUACCCAAUCCCGACUCGGGGAGGUAGUGACAAUAAAUACUGAUACAGGGCUCUUUUGGGUCUUGUAAUUGGAAUGAGUACAAUUUAAAUCCCUUAACGAGGAACAAUUGGAGGGCAAGUCUGGUGCCAGCAGCCGCGGUAAUUCCAGCUCCAAUAGCGUAUAUUAAAGUUGUUGCAGUUAAAAAGCUCGUAGUUGAACCUUGGGCCUGGCUGGCCGGUCCGCCUCACCGCGUGCACUGGUUCGGCCGGGCCUUUCCCUCUGGGGAACCGCAUGCCCUUCACUGGGUGUGUCGGGGAACCAGGACUUUUACUGUGAAAAAAUUAGAGUGUUCAAAGCAGGCCUAUGCUCGAAUACAUUAGCAUGGAAUAAUAGAAUAGGACGUGUGGUUCUAUUUUGUUGGUUUCUAGGACCGCCGUAAUGAUUAAUAGGGACAGUCGGGGGCAUCAGUAUUCAAUUGUCAGAGGUGAAAUUCUUGGAUUUAUUGAAGACUAACUACUGCGAAAGCAUUUGCCAAGGAUGUUUUCAUUAAUCAGAACGAAAGUUAGGGAUCGAAGACGAUCAGAUACCGUCGUAGUCUUAACCAUAAACUAUGCCGACUAGGAUCGGGNGAUGUUAUUAUUUUGACUCGCUCGGCACCUUACGAGAAAUCAAAGUNCUUUGGGUUCUGGGGGGGGAGUAUGGGUCNCAAGGCUGAAACCUUAANNANNGNNGANGCACCCACCNGGGUGGGNNCCUGCGGCUU
This 1041-nucleotide ribosomal RNA is filed under the name Apiospora arundinis. RNAcentral describes it as "SSU rRNA". It matches the Rfam family "Eukaryotic small subunit ribosomal RNA", at positions 142 to 1191 of the family's 1831-position model. Lineage: Eukaryota; Fungi; Ascomycota; Sordariomycetes; Amphisphaeriales; Apiosporaceae. The record is from RNAcentral.